GGGGUUGUAGCUCAGUGGUAGAGCACUUGCCUAGCAUGAGUGAGGUUCAAUCCUCAGCACCA
Molecule: transfer RNA, 62 nt
Filed under: Marmota marmota marmota (Alpine marmot)
Lineage: Eukaryota; Metazoa; Chordata; Mammalia; Rodentia; Sciuridae
Also listed under: 1 other name
Rfam family: tRNA
About the family: Transfer RNA (tRNA) molecules are approximately 80 nucleotides in length.
Source: Rfam by way of RNAcentral